This 253-nucleotide ribosomal RNA is filed under the name uncultured bacterium. Its description in RNAcentral is "partial 16S ribosomal RNA". It matches the Rfam family "Bacterial small subunit ribosomal RNA", at positions 524 to 776 of the family's 1533-position model. The record is from RNAcentral.
UACGUAGGUGGCAAGCGUUGUCCGGAAUUACUGGGUGUAAAGGGAGCGCAGGCGGGAAGCCAAGUCAGCUGUGAAAACUACGGGCUUAACUUGUAGACUGCAGUUGAAACUGGUUUUCUUGAGUGAAGUAGAGGUUGGCGGAAUUCCGAGUGUAGCGGUGAAAUGCCUAGAUAUUCGGAGGAACACCGGUGGCGAAGGCGGCCAACUGGGCUUUAACUGACGCUGAGGCUCGAAAGUGUGGGGAGCAAACAGG